This 468-nucleotide ribosomal RNA is filed under the name uncultured bacterium. RNAcentral describes it as "partial 16S ribosomal RNA". It matches the Rfam family "Bacterial small subunit ribosomal RNA", at positions 28 to 507 of the family's 1533-position model. The record is from RNAcentral.
GACGUACGCUGGCGGCGUGCUUAACACAUGCAAGUCGAACGGAAAGGCCCUGCUUUUGUGGGGUGCUCGAGUGGCGAACGGGUGAGUAACACGUGAGUAACCUGCCCUUGACUUUGGGAUAACUUCAGGAAACUGGGGCUAAUACCGGAUAGGAGCUCCUGCUGCAUGGUGGGGGUUGGAAAGUUUCGGCGGUUGGGGAUGGACUCGCGGCUUAUCAGCUUGUUGGUGGGGUAGUGGCUUACCAAGGCUUUGACGGGUAGCCGGCCUGAGAGGGUGACCGGCCACAUUGGGACUGAGAUACGGCCCAGACUCCUACGGGAGGCAGCAGUGGGGAAUAUUGCACAAUGGGCGGAAGCCUGAUGCAGCAACGCCGCGUGCGGGAUGACGGUCUUCGGGUUGUAAACCGCUUUCGCCUGUGACGAAGCGUGAGUGACGGUAAUGGGUAAAGAAGCACCGGCUAACUACGUG